RNAcentral lists this ribosomal RNA (483 nucleotides) under uncultured Crocinitomix sp. Its description in RNAcentral is "bacterial SSU rRNA". It matches the Rfam family "Bacterial small subunit ribosomal RNA", at positions 28 to 505 of the family's 1533-position model. The record is from RNAcentral. Lineage: Bacteria; Pseudomonadati; Bacteroidota; Flavobacteriia; Flavobacteriales; Crocinitomicaceae.
GAUGAACGCUAGCGGCAGGCUUAACACAUGCAAGUCGAGGGGUAACAGAAUAGCUUGCUAUUGCUGACGACCGGCGCACGGGUGCGUAACGCGUAUACAAUCUACCUUAUACAGGAGGAUAGCCCUAAGAAAUUGGGAUUAAUACUCCAUAGUAAUAUAAUACUGCAUGGUAUUAUGUUUAAAGUUACGGUGGUAUAAGAUGAGUAUGCGUCCUAUUAGCUAGAUGGUAAGGUAACGGCUUACCAUGGCAACGAUAGGUAGGGGGCCUGAGAGGGUUAUCCCCCACACUGGUACUGAGACACGGACCAGACUCCUACGGGAGGCAGCAGUGAGGAAUAUUGGUCAAUGGAGGCAACUCUGAACCAGCCAUGCCGCGUGAAGGAAGAAUGUCCUACGGAUUGUAAACUUCUUUUAUUUGGGAAGAAACCCCCGCUCGAGUAGCGGGGCUGACGGUACCAAAAGAAUAAGGACCGGCUAACUCCG